GAACGGGUGCGUAACACGUGAGCAACCUACCUAGGUGUGGGGGGAUAGCCGGCCCAACGGCCGGGUAAUACCGCAUACGCUCUUCUUUAGGCAUUUAGAGGAGAGGAAACCUUCGGGGCACUAUGAGGGGCUCGCGGCCCAUCAGCUAGUUGGCGAGGUAAUGGCUCACCAAGGCUACGACGGGUAGCUGGUCUGAGAGGAUGGCCAGCCACAUUGGGACUGAGAAACGGCCCAG
Molecule: ribosomal RNA, 235 nt
Filed under: uncultured bacterium
Lineage: Bacteria
Description: partial 16S ribosomal RNA
Rfam family: Bacterial small subunit ribosomal RNA
Source: RNAcentral